UUAGGUUUAAUUUUAUCUUUUCUUUUUUAUUAUUAAUUAAGGAAGGAGUAAUUUUUCCAAAUUUUGAUAUUAUUUUUUGUUUGAGAAAGUUUUAACCUUCGGAUGGCGUGCCAGCAGUUUCGGUUAUACGAUUGGUUUAAAAAAUGAAGUUAUUAUUUUAGGAUUUAAAUUAUUUAAAUUAAAGUUUGGAGUUUAGGUAAAAUUUUGUUUGAGUUAAUUUUUUUCUUCUUAAAAUUUUAUUCAAUAAUGAUAACAGGAUUAGAGACCCUGGUAUUUUGAUGAUUUGUAGGUAGUAUAAGGAGUUCUUGAAACCUGUGAAUUAAGACGGUUUUUAAUCUGGUUGGGGGGGUUUGUUCUUUAAAUGAUAAUCCUCGUUUUAUUAAACCUUUAUUAUUAGUUCUUAUGUCGCCAUUAUUUUCUUUUUUGAAUAUUUAAUGUUUAAUUAUUUUUUUUAGGUAAAGACAAGACUUAUAUGAAGGAUGGAAUUAAUCACUUAGAGAAACAAAACUUAUAUUGUUUUUUUAAUUAGGACUCAUAAGUUAAUUUAAUUUUAAAGCUUUUUUUGAAAUAGUAAUUAAAAAUGUACUAAUCGCCCGUCACUCUAAUUAUUAGAUAAGUCGUAACA
RNAcentral lists this non-coding RNA (625 nucleotides) under Walchia hayashii. Lineage: Eukaryota; Metazoa; Arthropoda; Arachnida; Trombidiformes; Trombiculidae. The record is from RNAcentral.